UACAGAGGGUGCAAGCGUUGUUCGGAAUUACUGGGCGUAAAGCGCACGUAGGCGGAUCGUUAAGUCGGGGUGAAAUCCCGAGGCUCAACCUCGGAACUGCCUUCGAUACUGGCGAUCUUGAGUCCGGGAGAGGUGAGUGGAACUCCGAGUGUAGAGGUGAAAUUCGUAGAUAUUCGGAAGAACACCAGUGGCGAAGGCGGCUCACUGGCCCGGUACUGACGCUGAGAUACGAAAGCGUGGGGAGCAAACAGG
RNAcentral lists this ribosomal RNA (252 nucleotides) under uncultured bacterium. RNAcentral's name for it is "partial 16S ribosomal RNA". It matches the Rfam family "Bacterial small subunit ribosomal RNA", at positions 524 to 776 of the family's 1533-position model. The record is from RNAcentral.